GAUGAACGCUGGCGGCGUGCUUAACACAUGCAAGUCGAACGAAGCACUUUAUUACGAUUUCUUCGGAAUGACGAUUUAGUGACUGAGUGGCGGACGGGUGAGUAACGCGUGGGUAACCUGCCUUAUACAGGGGGAUAACAGUUAGAAAUGACUGCUAAUACCGCAUAAGCGCACAGGAUUGCAUGAUCUGGUGUGAAAAACUCCGGUGGUAUAAGAUGGACCCGCGUCUGAUUAGCUGGUUGGUGAGGUAACGGCCCACCAAGGCGACGAUCAGUAGCCGACCUGAGAGGGUGACCGGCCACAUUGGGACUGAGACACGGCCCAAAACUCCUACGGGAGGCAGCAGUGGGGAAUAUUGCACAAUGGGGGAAACCCUGAUGCAGCGACGCCGCGUGAGCGAAGAAGUAUUUCGGUAUGUAAAGCUCUAUCAGCAGGGAAGAAGAAAUGACGGUACCUGACUAAGAAGCACCGGCUAAAUACGUGCCAGCAG
This 490-nucleotide ribosomal RNA is filed under the name uncultured bacterium. Its description in RNAcentral is "bacterial SSU rRNA". It matches the Rfam family "Bacterial small subunit ribosomal RNA", at positions 28 to 514 of the family's 1533-position model. The record is from RNAcentral.